UGCUGCGCAGGAUCCUCAAGGCCUCUGGUAGGGGACCCAGGCUGGAAGGAUGGAUCGCUCGCAGGGGCGGGAGGGGAAUGUCUAUUGUGUUACACAGAUUGCCGAUGACAAAGGUCCUGUUGGACCCGCUCUGAGCGCUGAUUACUCGUUUAAAAGCAAAGCACUUGUAACCGUGCUACAGAACAAGGCUAGGCCAGGUUAGCAGGAUCAGCAGUGCUCUGUGGGUGUGCCAACCUAACGUCUCCAAAUUCUGGAGAAGUUACGCCCACAUGUGAGCUUUUCUGCUGUGCCCGACUUUCCUUCGUCUCAGUUCACGCAGCACAGCCGUCGUUUUAUUCCAAAGAUGUCUCUGAGUGAGAAAAGCGACGAGGAGCUCGGCAGCUUGCUCUCUCAGUAUGGCAUCAAACACGGACCCAUCGUGGACUCCACUCGGCAUCUGUAUGAGAGGAAGCUUGAAAAGGCGAUGGAGCAGGCUUCAGUGAAGACGUCCUCUGAUAAGACCUACUACAGAGAGGAAGAGGAGGAAGUUACCUACAUCACAUACCAGA
This is a non-coding RNA of Neolamprologus brichardi, 548 nucleotides long. NCBI's taxonomy places the organism in Eukaryota, Metazoa, Chordata, Actinopteri, Cichliformes, Cichlidae. The record is from RefSeq and is a predicted model, not a curated record.